UUCAUCUCAGCAUAUAUUCUCUAAAUGGUGCGUACAUAUGACUGGUUGAGUGGUUCAUUUUCUCCAUUUUGUGUUAUUUCUUAACGGCCAGCUUCAGUAGUUUAUUGUACUGUAAACAAUUGAAAUGAGUGGAAGCCCCGUUUCUUUUUAUCUCUAGUGGUGAUUAUGUAUCCCAUGUUUGUUCAUAAUCAUUUCUUUCUUUCUUCCUUAUUAUUUUUUACGUGUAUAAUCAUGCUUCUUUGAAAUGUUAGGAAUUGCUUAUCAUUAGUUCAGAACAAGGUACACUAAGAGUGCAUGUUAUUAGACCUUUCAUAUGCCAUUAUUUGUGUUGUCACAAUAAACUCUAUUCCUCAGGGAGAGAGGGAGAUGCAUAAAUUCACCUCCAAACAAUUCCAAUUGAAGUAGAUUAAAAAACUCAAGUACUGCAGUCAAUUUGAGAUCUGUUGGCAUCAACCUCCUGGGCAAGAGCAGUCAAUAUUAGAACAGGUGUGGCAUCGUCCUCUUGGGCCAGAGCUAAUUAUUCAGGCACUGAAUUGAGAGCAUGCUUGCCUGCGUUGUUAACUUGGAUCCUGUCUCUGAUAGACCAUUAUUGAGUCAGAGGCAUGGCCUUUUGUUUUAAUUUUUAAUUUUUGGGAGCAGAUAAGAAAAA
Molecule: long non-coding RNA, 649 nt
Organism: Magnolia sinica
Lineage: Eukaryota; Viridiplantae; Streptophyta; Magnoliopsida; Magnoliales; Magnoliaceae
Exons: 2
Source: RefSeq, a predicted model, not a curated record